RNAcentral lists this small nuclear RNA (94 nucleotides) under Peromyscus maniculatus bairdii (prairie deer mouse). The record is from RNAcentral. Lineage: Eukaryota; Metazoa; Chordata; Mammalia; Rodentia; Cricetidae.
UUCAGCAGCACAAAGUUGAAAUACACUAAAAUUGGAAUAUUAGCAAUCCCUACACAAGGAUGGCAUGCAAAUUCAUGAAGUGUUUCAUAUUAAA